CGGCGCAGGAGCCCCUGCGACGCCCGUCCGGCGGCCCCGCGGCUGCUGCCCCCCAGUGAAAAAAAUGCAGGGGGCGGCCCUGAGGGCAGCGCGGGCCCGGCGCCUCCGCUCCUUGCCGCGGUGUUUUCUGUGCGACCCCAUCGUGGCGGAACGGGGCCAGUUUUGCAUUUCUCGGAGGCAGAAAAACCCUCUAAAAUAAGCACGAAUAGCAACUGAAUAGCAGAGAGAGAAAACUAGGAGGUACUUCGGGGAACGUGAGAUCCUCUGGCGCUGAUAACGUUGCACUGCUCUGUUCCUUAGAGUGGUAAUCAUUUUAAUCAGGUCUGGAUUAUCUCACUAGGCAUUUAAUUUUCUUACCCGUUUGUUCAGAUGCAUUACUGGUAAACAGAGAUUUUAAAAUGCAUUUGAUUGCAUUCUUGAUAAAGCAUUUUUACCCAGGCACGUGGCAGAGUUCCUACAACCGGAGGUUUUCAAAUGCAAUUUGACGGGACUACAAGAUCGCCUCUAGACUCCCUCCUGAGCAGUCCAAGACCACCUUGGAAAUGAGUUGCUACACAAAUAGAAAUCCUUUUACAAAUUCACGGAAUUGUUCCGGUUGGAAGUGACCUCUGGAGAUCAUCCAAUCCAACCCGCCUGCUAAGGCAGGGUCACCUGGAGCAGGUGACACAGGAACACCUCCAGUUUAUGGUGAUUGCUCCUUGUCCUGUCACUGCAGAGAGUCUGGCACUCCUGUGCAAUCCAACAGGAAGGCUGGGUGAGGAGAGUGCCAUUCAGCCUCCAUUCCUCUGCCUGUCUUUUCUGUACAAAGAUUUCAAAACAAAAAAUAUCUUAAAUUCUUUACUAACACACAAUAAAUGUUUUUGUUUCA
Catharus ustulatus (Swainson's thrush) is the source of this 868-nucleotide long non-coding RNA. RefSeq lists it as uncharacterized. The transcript is spliced from 2 exons. The record is from RefSeq and is a predicted model, not a curated record. NCBI's taxonomy places the organism in Eukaryota, Metazoa, Chordata, Aves, Passeriformes, Turdidae.